This 493-nucleotide ribosomal RNA is filed under the name uncultured bacterium. RNAcentral describes it as "partial 16S ribosomal RNA". It matches the Rfam family "Bacterial small subunit ribosomal RNA", at positions 29 to 508 of the family's 1533-position model. The record is from RNAcentral.
AGUGAACGCUGGCGGUAGGCCUAACACAUGCAAGUCGAACGGCAGCACAGUAAGAGCUUGCUCUUACGGGUGGCGAGUGGCGGACGGGUGAGGAAUACAUCGGAAUCUACUUUUUCGUGGGGGAUAACGUAGGGAAACUUACGCUAAUACCGCAUACGACCUACGGGUGAAAGCAGGGGAUCUUCGGACCUUGCGCGAUUGAAUGAGCCGAUGUCGGAUUAGCUAGUUGGCGGGGUAAAGGCCCACCAAGGCGACGAUACGUAGCUGGUCUGAGAGGAUGAUCAGCCACACUGGAACUGAGACACGGUCCAGACUCCUACGGGAGGCAGCAGUGGGGAAUAUUGGACAAUGGGCGCAAGCCUGAUCCAGCCAUACCGCGUGGGUGAAGAAGGCCUUCGGGUUGUAAAGCCCUUUUGUUGGGAAAGAAAAGCAGCAGGUUAAUACCCCGCUGUUCUGACGGUACCCAAAGAAUAAGCACCGGCUAACUUCGUGC